RNAcentral lists this ribosomal RNA (253 nucleotides) under uncultured bacterium. Its description in RNAcentral is "partial 16S ribosomal RNA". It matches the Rfam family "Bacterial small subunit ribosomal RNA", at positions 524 to 776 of the family's 1533-position model. The record is from RNAcentral.
UACGUAGGGUGCAAGCGUUAAUCGGAAUUACUGGGCGUAAAGCGUGCGUAGGCGGUGAUGUAAGACAGUUGUGAAAUCCCCAGGCUUAACCUGGGAACUGCAUUCGAGACUGCAUUGCUAGAGUAUGGGAGAGGGAAGUGGAAUUUCCGGUGUAGCGGUGAAAUGCGUAGAUAUCGGAAGGAACAUCAGUGGCGAAAGCGACUUCCUGGACCAAUACUGACGCUCAUGUGCGAAAGCGUGGGGAGCAAACAGG